This 482-nucleotide ribosomal RNA is filed under the name Blastocystis sp. subtype 1. RNAcentral's name for it is "SSU rRNA". It matches the Rfam family "Eukaryotic small subunit ribosomal RNA", at positions 459 to 954 of the family's 1831-position model. The record is from RNAcentral. Lineage: Eukaryota; Bigyra; Opalinata; Blastocystidae.
UGGAGGUAGUGACAAUAAAUCACAAUGCGGGACUAUCAGUCUUGCAAUUGGAUUGAGAACAAUGUACAACUCUUAUCGAUAAGCCAUUGGAGGGCAAGUCUGGUGCCAGCAGCCGCGGUAAUUCCAGCUCCAAUAGCGUAUAUUAACGUUGUUGCAGUUAAAAAGCUCGUAGUUGAAGUGUGGGUGAUCGCUGUUGUGAGACUUCGGUCUCUCGACAGUAAGUCACCCCCUUCCAGUAUCCAGUAGUGGGUAUUCACUUACUUACUACUGUGUGUUGGUCAUUUACUGUGAGAAAAUUAGAGUGUUCAAAGCAGGCGUUUGCUUGAAUAGAUUAGCAUGGAAUAAUAAUUGAAGGCUUUCGUGUUCGAUUUGAUUGGUUUGUUCAUGGAAGCAAGGUUAAAAGGAACAGUUGGGGGUAUUCAUAUUCACUAGUUAGAGGUGAAAUUCUCGGAUUUAUGGAAGAUGAACAAGUGCGAAAGCAA